Molecule: ribosomal RNA, 302 nt
Filed under: uncultured bacterium
Lineage: Bacteria
Description: bacterial SSU rRNA
Rfam family: Bacterial small subunit ribosomal RNA
Source: RNAcentral
AAAGAAUUUCGGAAACGGAUAGGCUCGCGUGACAUUAGCUAGAUGGCGGGGUAACGGCCCACCAUGGCAACGAUGUCUAGGGGUUCUGAGAGGAAGGUCCCCCACACUGGAACUGAGACACGGUCCAGACUCCUACGGGAGGCAGCAGUGAGGAAUAUUGGUCAAUGGUCUAACGACUGAACCAGCCAUGCCGCGUGAAGGUCACGGCCCUAUGGGUCUUAAACUUCUUUUGUAAGGGAGCAAUAAGCUUUACGUGUAGAGUGAUGAGAGUACCUUACGAAUAAGCAUCGGCUAACUCCGUG